AAUUUCUAAAGAGAGCUUACUUCAGUUCACUAAUGGGGGGCAGUAGGAUUCAAUUAGCUGCUGACUCAUUCAUCCAAAUGCUGAGUUAUAUGAGAUUUACACAGUAACUGCGUGAAUGAUGCGGGAGACAAGUUGAAUCUUAAGCUUCCUAUACUUGGACUGAAGGGAGCUCCCUUUACUGUUUUC
RNAcentral lists this microRNA precursor (186 nucleotides) under Olea europaea subsp. europaea. RNAcentral's name for it is "MIR159 microRNA precursor family". It matches the Rfam family "MIR159 microRNA precursor family". The record is from Rfam by way of RNAcentral. Lineage: Eukaryota; Viridiplantae; Streptophyta; Magnoliopsida; Lamiales; Oleaceae.